AUUGAACGCUGGCGGCAUGCCUUACACAUGCAAGUCGAACGGCAGCACGGGAGCAAUCCUGGUGGCGAGUGGCGAACGGGUGAGUAAUAUAUCGGAACGUGCCCAGUCGUGGGGAUAACGUAGCGAAAGCUACGCUAAUACCGCAUACGAUCUAUGGAUGAAAGCGGGGGAUCGCAAGACCUCGCGCGAUUGGAGCGGCCGAUAUCAGAUUAGGUAGUUGGUGAGGUAAAGGCUCACCAAGCCGACGAUCUGUAGCUGGUCUGAGAGGACGACCAGCCACACUGGGACUGAGACACGGCCCAGACUCCUACGGGAGGCAGCAGUGGGGAAUUUCCGCAAUGGGCGAAAGCCUGACGGAGCAAUACCGCGUGAGGAGAAUGCCUAUGGGUUGUAAACCUCUUUUUUCUAGGGAGGAAUAAAUGACGUGUACCUGAAGAAUAAG
RNAcentral lists this ribosomal RNA (442 nucleotides) under uncultured bacterium. RNAcentral's name for it is "bacterial SSU rRNA". It matches the Rfam family "Bacterial small subunit ribosomal RNA", at positions 30 to 490 of the family's 1533-position model. The record is from RNAcentral.